UGGGGAAUUUUGGACAAUGGGGGAAACCCUGAUCCAGCCAUCCCGCGUGUGCGAUGAAGGCCUUCGGGUUGCAAAGCACUUUUGGCAGGAAAGAAACGUCGCGGGUUAAUACCCCGCGAAACUGACGGUACCUGCAGAAUAAGCACCGGCUAACUACGUGCCAGCAGCCGCGGUAAUACGUAGGGUGCAAGCGUUAAUCGGAAUUACUGGGCGUAAAGCGUGCGCAGGCGGUUCGGAAAGAAAGAUGUGAAAUCCCAGAGCUUAACUUUGGAACUGCAUUUUUAACUACCGGGCUAGAGUGUGUCAGAGGGAGGUGGAAUUCCGCGUGUAGCAGUGAAAUGCGUAGAUAUGCGGAGGAACACCGAUGGCGAAGGCAGCCUCCUGGGAUAACACUGACGCUCAUGCACGAAAGCGUGGGGAGCAAACAGGAUUAGAUACCCUGGUAGUCCACGCCCUAAACGAUGUCAACUAGCUGUUGGGGCCUUCGGGCCUUGGUAGCGCAGCUAACGCGUGAAGUUGACCGCCUGGGGAGUACGGUCGCAAGAUUAAAACUCAAAGGAAUUGACGGGGUC
This 572-nucleotide ribosomal RNA is filed under the name uncultured bacterium. Its description in RNAcentral is "partial 16S ribosomal RNA". It matches the Rfam family "Bacterial small subunit ribosomal RNA", at positions 355 to 920 of the family's 1533-position model. The record is from RNAcentral.